UGGGAUUAAAGGUGUACACCACCACGUCUG
RNAcentral lists this non-coding RNA (30 nucleotides) under Mus musculus (house mouse). Lineage: Eukaryota; Metazoa; Chordata; Mammalia; Rodentia; Muridae. The record is from RNAcentral.